This is an unclassified non-coding RNA of Cercocebus atys (sooty mangabey), 68 nucleotides long. The record is from Ensembl. NCBI's taxonomy places the organism in Eukaryota, Metazoa, Chordata, Mammalia, Primates, Cercopithecidae.
UUUUGCUCUUCACUGUAUCUUCAUGGUCUAGUAGAUCACAUGAUUCAUCACAGGUCUUGAAAUACAUG